AUUGAACGCUGGCGGCAGGCCUAACACAUGCAAGUCGAGCGGAUGAAGGGAGCUUGCUCCUGGAUUCAGCGGCGGACGGGUGAGUAAUGCCUAGGAAUCUGCCUGGUAGUGGGGGAUAACGUCCGGAAACGGGCGCUAAUACCGCAUACGUCCUGAGGGAGAAGGUGGGGGAUCUUCGGACCUCACGCUAUCAGAUGAGCCUAGGUCGGAUUAGCUAGUUGGUGGGGUAAAGGCCUACCAAGGCGACGAUCCGUAACUGGUCUGAGAGGAUGAUCAGUCACACUGGAACUGAGACACGGUCCAGACUCCUACGGGAGGCAGCAGUGGGGAAUAUUGGACAAUGGGCGAAAGCCUGAUCCAGCUAUGCCGCGUGUGUGAAGAAGGUCUUCGGAUUGUAAAGCACUUUAAGUUGGGAGGAAGGGCAGUAAGUUAAUACCUUGCUGUUUUGACGUUACCAACAGAAUAAGCACCGGCUAACUUCGUG
RNAcentral lists this ribosomal RNA (484 nucleotides) under uncultured bacterium. RNAcentral's name for it is "partial 16S ribosomal RNA". It matches the Rfam family "Bacterial small subunit ribosomal RNA", at positions 30 to 507 of the family's 1533-position model. The record is from RNAcentral.